RNAcentral lists this ribosomal RNA (261 nucleotides) under uncultured archaeon. Its description in RNAcentral is "partial 16S ribosomal RNA". It matches the Rfam family "Archaeal small subunit ribosomal RNA", at positions 748 to 1009 of the family's 1478-position model. The record is from RNAcentral.
UAGCCGUGAACGAUACUCGCUAGGUGUCGGCCACGGUGCGACCGUUGUCGGUGCCGUAGGGAAGCCGUGAAGCGAGCCACCUGGGAAGUACGGCCGCAAGGCUGAAACUUAAAGGAAUUGGCGGGGGGAGCACCACAACGGGUGGAGCCUGCGGUUUAAUUGGAUUCAACGCCGGACAUCUCACCAGGGCGACAGCAGAAUGAUGGCCAGGUUGAUGACCUUGCUUGACAAGCUGAGAGGAGGUGCAUGGCGUAGUCGUGU